Non-coding RNA from Anolis sagrei ordinatus, 270 nucleotides. Lineage: Eukaryota; Metazoa; Chordata; Lepidosauria; Squamata; Anolidae. The record is from RefSeq and is a predicted model, not a curated record.
CUCUGGAUUUGAAGAACAAUUCAUCCAACGGAUUCAAAAAGAACAUACCUCAGAAAGUGAAACGAGUUUGGUGGCCAGUUAUUUUCCCAUUCAUUUUCGUUGGCAUCCUUGUUAUGUUCUUCUGCCUGUGUCUACACUGUAAGGAAAGCAGAUGCAUCUCUGACCAGAGUGAAGGGGACAAUUCUGCAGCAUCAAGCAGUUGGAGCAUUCCUGAGCAGAACCUUACAGAGGAACGACAAUUGAUUCGGCAUUUGAGGACUCGCCAAGACA